Gasterosteus aculeatus aculeatus (three-spined stickleback) is the source of this 7944-nucleotide long non-coding RNA. NCBI's taxonomy places the organism in Eukaryota, Metazoa, Chordata, Actinopteri, Perciformes, Gasterosteidae. The record is from Ensembl.
GUCAUUUCUUUCUUGCCUUAAUUCUGCCUUCAGUUUGUUCACAUAUUCUUUGAACACCUCAAAUUUCUGCUUCCUUUGGCAUUGAAUGUUGUCUCUUUGGAUGACCAUGUCUGACAGUAUACUUAUCAGACUUUUCUUUUCCCUCUGUGUCGUUUGGGUUUUGACAACGUUUUAUCUCAUGAUUUUGACUUUCUAUCCCCUUUCUAUUGUGCGGAAAUCGGCUUCUAUAGUUCUGUGAAUGCGUAACUCCAGCCAAUCCAAAGACAGGGUUUGUAACCAAUUAGAUGUGGAGAUACCGUGGUGACUGGCUCCGCCCCCUUACUGUCAAAAAGAACAACAGCGAGCCCAUAGAAAACACCUUCAAGCACGAGCAGAGAGUAGCCUCGCGAGCGAGGAAGUUCACAUUCCGCAGACUUUUGCUCUCGCGAGACAGCUUGCGGAUGUUUGAUUUACGCGCGCGCAUAAACCUGAUUUGCGCCCUCGAAUUCUGACAGUGAUUUGCCACCAUAGUAGUAGCUGGUUGUCAUCUAUGGUCUACUACGCUUACAGUGAGGUGUCAUUUGUCUUUUGCCUUUGUCUUUCUAUCCCUUUCUAUGGACUUUUGCUCGCGACUGAUUUAAGCGAGCGCAUGAUUUGCGCUCUUGAAUUUUGACACUGAUUUGCCACUAUACAGAUGGCAGUCAUGAGGAUAAUCACGCGUGCGCGUCCUACAUUAGAAGGCGGAAGAGUCUACGGCCGACGGGGGGGCGACUCUGCAUCCCCAGGUGAUUCCGCCCACUCUUGUCUGUACUUUUGCAUCCGCUUUCGUUCAAAGCUGGACACGGGGUGGUACCUGAAGCUGCCUCCGCCAUUCUUUCAAAUCGACACUCCAAGAGACCCGCCCUCCUCUGACUCUGAUUGGUUUCUUUCAGAAUCACGGCCAAUCACACCAACAAUGGCAGCGAGUAUUACCCUACCAGGGGCUGAACAGGACGAAUGUUCACAGAAUUCGGGGGGGAUUAUUUGCAUGGGAUGCUGCAGACAACUUGUAAAAUACGGGACAAAUCCCAUCCCGCAUUGAUUCAAAACGGGACCCGCUAUUUUAUUCUCAAAUAUUAGAUAGAUUCCCUUUUUUAAGGGACUGGUGGCAACCCUACAUACACCUAACUCCGCAUGUCCAUAAAAUAGUACCAUUACAUUACACUGUGUCUCUCUAAAGGUUUCUGCCAUUUAUUCUCCCCAUCGAAUGCUUUUUCAUUGUUUGGGCCACCGUCGGCCCUAUAUAUCUUUAAAUGUGCCUGCUGGCAUGAUGCUUCAUGGAAUGCAUCAUCAUCCAAUGAGAUGUUGGUGGCAAAAAACAAGCCCAAAGAGGCUAAUUGAUACGAAUUAAUAGUAAUAGAUAUAUUUACUGCAGCUUAUGUAUCAUAUGUAUGUGUAGAUGACCAUAUAGACCUAGGAGUUGUAUUAUGUGUGUGUCUGAAUAUGUGUAAGGGCAGAUCAUUAUGUAUAUAUAUAACUAUAUAUAUAUAUAUAGUUAUAUAUAGAUAUAUAGUUAUAUAUAUAUAACUAUAUAUAUAUAGUUAUAUAUAUAUAUAUAUAACUAUAUAUAUAUAUUAGUUAUAAUCAGACAUUUGAUCAAUUGAAGCAGUGAAAGAUGAAACAUCCAGAAGUUUAUUAAGCGCUGAAUAAACAAACAGAACUUUACGAAGAGCACGAUAUGCACCAGAUGCAGGCCUUCCUCUGCAUCGCAACACUAUACGAACAUGUACAGUAUGAGAGUACAGUCCGUGGGACAGUGUGUGAGACAGUCUGCGGUUGGACAGUCAAUCCUCGGCUACAGCGUGUGGUGUUCACGUUACGUUAGGGCUCGAGAAAAUCUUCUUGUAAAUAAAUGAUUCCUUGUCUUCAGCAUUGAUCGCACUCUUAUAGGACGUCAUCGUUAGAUUAGAUUAAUCUAACCAAUAUCGCUACUUCAUCAAUGAGGAAGAGAGAUGCCCUUUAACCGGGGGAGUGGUUUUUCGAUGUGUUGCUAUGGUGAUUUAGCCAAACCUGCUUCGGGAACCGAAAAGCCUGAUCUACCGUUUACGUCAUCUCAGUUAGCCAUGUACGAGGAACAGGGCCCAGGAUUAAUAUAAUUUAGCAAACAACAUGGAGAAAUGGUGUUUUUGAACUUUCAAAAAUAUGGCAAAAUCUUUGAAUCUGUAUUGUAAAAUUAUUUUAUAUUCAGCAUGAUGCUGAUGCUUUGAUUAAUUUAUCAACAAACACCGUCCUUACCUGCGUGUCCGAUACUGCAGCCGUUUGGCGCUCAGCACUGCACGACCACCAAGAGGAGGAGUGGGGGUAGAGGGAGGGGCGGGGCGGGGCUUCGUUCUUUCAUAAGAACUUCGUUCUUUCAUAAGAACUCAAAGAAAUGCCAGUCUGAUAUCAAAACACACUUGCUUGAUGACAGAGAGAGUAAUUUUCAUUUGAAAUAUUAAUGAAUGAAGAAAACAAUGGGCUCCAGCAGAAGGGGCACUUUUCUCAUCUAGGGCAAAAGGGCUGGUGCUUGAGCACCACUAGGGGUCUAUCUGUGCACGUGCCUGUAUGGAGAUAUGGUCUUUUGAACUUGUAAUUACAGGGUUUUUACUUUGAAGAAAUCUCCAAAUCUGUGCAGUAAAAAUAUUUCACUUUUCUUACAAUAGUAGUCAGAGAUGUCCUUAACACAUGUAUGUUAGUCUUUUUUAGAAUUAUUGAGAAAAGUAUUUUUAUUGCAGUUCAAACUUUGAGAAAUGGUCCUUUUGAACUUGAAACUUAGGAUAUAAAUAUAGAAUAAUUACUUUACUUUGUACUGUAAAAUUAUUCAUUUUUUUGUACAACAGUAGUCAUAAUGGUCCUGAACACACAUACUUCAGUCAUUGUCCAGAAUAUUUGAUUAAAUAGCUUUUAUUUCGGUUACUUGUUCAAUACCGUAAAUAUCAGCAUACACUAAAAUUCAAGCGUCGGCUGAGUUGACCGCAGUUAAAUUAUGCAAAGACUCAAAUUGUAAGUACAGGUAGUUGAAUGUGGUUCUGUCGAAUCUACAUAGUUGUUAAUGAUUGUUACCUGCUUACAUUUAGGUUUACUUGAGGCAAAUUAAAGGGAAUAUUGUAUCGAGCUAUGUUAACACUGAGCUAGCUAGCUAUUUUCUCCAGUGAGCAAGAGUGUGAAGGAGCAAAUUCUAAAUACAAGAAAUAACUAUUGACAUAUCUCUUUAUUCUUUGCUUCAAUAUUGAUGUAGUGUUUUGAAACAAUAAUAUAAUUUCCUACAGAAUGUUGUGGUUUAUAAUCAUUUAAUGCUAGUGGAAAAAAAAUGUCAUAUGUCUCUCAUAACUAGUUAUUGUACUGGUAUGUCAUUCUGUUCAUUGACCAGAUGGAUAUCAGUUUGUUGUUUUAUUUCUUCAACUGUGGAAUAAAUGUGUAGGCAUUUGUUGUUACUGUAGGUAAUUUGUUGUUACUCCAAGGCUUAGCCUAAACGAGAGUACUUCAUGAGGUCUUCAUCUCAAGUCAAACUUAUAUACAAAAUAUAAGUAACCAAAACUAUAGAGCCAAAUCACACUCUUUCUGAUUGAACCACGCGCAGACAUACUUCUCCCAAAGGAGAAUCCUAGAAACAUGGUGAUGUUUAUUGAGACAAAUAGUCACUAACUCGUGUGUACUUAUCAAGACUAUCAUGUAGUGUUGGUAGUUUUUUUGCAAAGUUUAUAAGAUUGAAUUUCAAGGAAAUCUUUAGGCUGGGACAAAGAAUUUCAGGAUACGUUGUGUUAUAAGUGGCUUUAAUAAAAAAUAAAAAUUGUGAUGCAAAGGUCUCCUGAGGCUUCACAAUACAGACCUAUGCUUCCGCUCAAGAACCCCGAAAAAAGUAAUCCAUCAGGUUAUAUACAUUUUCCAUCAUAGCCAUCAUCAUUCCACGCUAUCACUCUGUCCUCCUUCUACAAAAACGGAGCUCCCUGACUUUGGAGCUUGUCUCCAAAUUCCUGCGAGCUACUUCUUGUGAGCCGUUGGUUCAGUGUCUUUCGACUGGGCAUCUUUAAGUUACUUAAAAACAUAUAAUGCAAUAUCUCCAGUCAUAUGUUGUGGCCUGCAUUUAGAUUUACUGGGGGGCCCUCUUCCUAAAACUCCGUAAUUUCCAUGUAAAUGUACAUCAAUUCAAAACUUUUAGGCUAAAUAUGGUUUACUCAUAUGUUACUUAUACAUAAUGUCACAAGGCUGUUAUCCAGUCUUUCUUGUUUCUGACUGGCUGAGUAUAGUAAUUUACACUAAGACCUUCUUUGUAAGCAUACUAACACAGUCUUUAGGCACCAUGCAGCUAUAAUAUGCCUUUAUUGAAAGAAUAGCAUCUUAGAAUAAUUCUAAGAGAAGGAUAUAGCAUAUCUAUUUAAAAAGUCCUAUCUGACCUUUGUGUUGAAAUAUAUACGCUAACCCAAUUUACAAAUUAAGGAAUAAAAAGUUUUAGAAUGCCAACUGUUGCUAUACAUAUUUGGCCACCUUAUUAGAUUUUACUAGCAAAAGAGUUUAAUUAAAAAGCAAUGUUUUUAUAAAAUGUUCCACCUUUGUCUAUACCCCUUUCCAUAGGUUAGAGGCAUUUGGAAGAAAAUGGGUGUAUUUAAAGAAGGAAAUCGAGCUCCGAGGAAAGACUAAUGGUCAAUGUUGGGUGGAAUGACAGCCUUUGUCAAAGCCAUGGCAAUAUCAAGAGUACAUACUAUUUCUCAGAAUUUUGGUCUGAUCUCCCUAUAACUUCUUUUGGCCAAGAUAAUACAACAAUGCCAUGUCAAGUUCUACACUGCUGUAACUACUUGCCAGUUGGAAAGAGAGCAAAGUUAUAUAUGUUUUUAUAUAUAUAAGGGCUGUGGCAGAGAUGAAUGCAAUAACAUUUUUUUUACGUUUGUUUACCGCGGUAGUGAGUUACAUCAAGGUGGAGAGAGCUUUUAGCAUUGGAAGUAAAGCAAAAAUAGGCGCGACGUACAGCGGAGAACUGUGCAGAGGAAUUACUCCACGUGUCAAACAGAAGGGGGGUGAGUGUCAAACGGACCACUUAAAGCACUGCUAUGCUAAGCUUGCUGCUAUGCUACUUCCAUCUGAAAAUAUAACAUUACCCUGCGUGGCACGCAGGUCUGCAGAGGACCACCACUGUGUCCCUGACCAUCCUUGCUAACGGCCUUGCUAAAUGUGGGGAGAUUGUUGGCACUUCAAAAACAGCCGUUAAAUUAUGGAGAGUUGAGAGCAAAGUGCAGAGUUGCAACACCUGUUGGAAUUCUGCCUCCAAGAUGAUCAAAUGUGUGUAGUUUUGUGUUUAAAAUGACGUUAACAUUUAAACAAGUGUCUAAAAUGCACGCUUUCUAAAGUGAUUACUCAUUACGUUUUACGUCUUUAAAAGAAAAACAAACAUUCAUUAAAAAUAACAACCGCCAUUAAUUAGUUAAUUUUUAAAAAUUCUAUUCACAGCCCUAAAAUGACUACAUUUGACUACAGAAACACUUCCAAAUGUUUUGUGUUUAAAAUGUAUGGCAGGAUCAUUCACAUACAGAAUACAGGUCUCUCAAUUCUCUUCAUGGAGGCUGGGCUUCCAGCAUCCACAGCAGUGGUAGCAGCAUCGAUAGCAAUAAUGCUGCAACUGACAGAGGAGCCCACUGGACGUCUCUGGAGCUACCUGAGUUUCUUCUUUUAUUAUCGGCGCUUGGUACAUUUUGGCAAAAGCAUGUUCCGUCAACGGGAAUGUUGCAUUCUCUUUGGUUGUAUUAACCUGGUUGGUUUGUUUAGCCUUGUAACUAGUUGUCACUGUCCCUGACACUCCAUUAACACUUAGUUUCUCAAAUUGAACUUCACAUUGUCCAAGCUGUGUGUAUUUGUCAUUGUUUUUUUUGCGGCCUCUCCCGAAGUUACUCUGGGAUGUCAUGUCUUUACAUAACUCUGGUUUCUGUAUCUCCUCUAAGAGUUUCUUUUCUUUUUGGGACCACGUUAUCUUGACAAAGCGAUCAAUCACAUUGAUUCUUUUCUCAAGGUAGUUUCUCAUUUCAUGACUCAUGUGCUUCAUCUGAUCAAUUUCCAUCCGUUCCAUUUUUGUGUCCUUCCAGAGCUUUCGCAAAUAAUGUCUUUUUGACAUUUUCACAUCUGUAAAAUCAACAGUAGACGCCGCCAAUGUUUUUGCAAGUUUAGUAAUUUGAUCAUUUUUUACCUCUUCAUUGUUGAGUAUCAGCAUAUCUUCCCUCUUAGUUAAUAAGUAUUUGUCUUUUAUUCCAAAAUAAUGUGUGUCUCCUAACUUCCACUGAUGUUUUUGAGUCUGAUUGGUCACAUUAGGGUGUUUUUCACCCUUCUCAUGUUCAAAUUGUAUAAGUUUAAUAAAAUAUGGUUUCUCGUCAUUGUCCUUUUGAAGCCAUUCUAUUACGACCUCAGUUUGUACUGCCUUGUCAAUCUUAAUUGUCACCAUUUGUUUCUUUGGUUUUGGCGUCAAGUCAAAAGGGAGCCUGUCCCUAUAGAUCUUCCUAGAUGUAUGCAUAUCCAUUUUGUAGUCCUUUUGUCUCCUUGGAUUAAAUUGAAUGAUUUUUGGUCUCCUGGGUUGUAUGAGGUGAAUUGACCUAGAGAACUUGGCAGCUCCAAUCUCUUCCUUCUUGUUGAGAUCCCCCCUCCAAAGUUCCAGUUCCUGUCUUCCAGCCAUUACACUCGUCUUCAUUGUUUCCAGUUCUUGUUUUCGUCUAUUGAAAUCAUCUUUCUUGAGUUCAAGUUUAUCUUGUUUUAAGAUAAUAAUGUCCAUGUCGACCUUUAACUUGUCUUUUUCUGCAUCAAGCUUAAGGAUCAAAUCCUUAAUGUAGCCUCUCGCUCUGUUUAUCUCAAUAAACAUAUUUUCUCCGAGUUCUUUCUGUUUAUGAAUCUCCAUCUUUGUGGUUUCCAGUUCGAUUUGCUCCCUCUUUAUAUCUUGUUGCUCUUGUUCUAAUAUGUCUCUUUGUUUCAGAAUGUCACACUUCAUCAGCUCCAAGUCCAGUUUUUCUGUCUUCAUUUUCUCACUCUCUCUGUCGAGGUCAUUUCUUUCUUGCGUUAAUUCUGCCUUCAGUUUGUUCACAUAUUCUUUGAACACCUCAAAUUUCUGCUUCCUUUGGCAUUGAAUGUUGUCUCUUUGGAUGACCAUGUCUGACCGUAUACUUAUCAGACUUUUCUUUUCCCUCUCCAUCAGCUCGGUGGAACAAGCCACACUUUCUUUCUGUACAUUUAGAGCUGCAAGCUUUUGUUUCAAUUCAGUGUACAGCUCUACUACAUCUUCACUAUGUAGUUGUAAUUUUUUCCUCUUUUCUUUCUUGUCUUCCUUCAUCCUUUUAGUCAGCGUUUUAAGUUGUCCUUUAAAAGUUUCUAUUGAUUUCAUUUCAUUCAAGAGAUGAGCUUCUCUUAUUUUCAGUUCAGACCUUUCUCCUUCCAAUCUGACCUUCUCAUUGUCCAACCUGUGUCUGUCCAUGUCAGCACUACUCUUCAUCUGACUGAGUUGUUCUUUCUCUCCAUUGAUGGAGUUAAUAUCAGCUCCAAUCUCUUCUUUCUUCUUGGUGAGAUCCUCCCUCCAAAGUUCCAGUUCCUGUCUUCCAGCAAUUACACUCGUCUUUAUUGUUUCCAGUUCUUGUUUUUGUCUAUUGGAAUCAUCUUUCUUGAGUUCUAGUUUAUCUUGUUUUAAGAUAAUAAUGUCCAUGUUGACCUUUAACCUGUCUUUUUCUGCAUCAAGCUUAAGGAUCAAAUCCUUAAUGUAGCCUCUCGCUCUGUUUAUCUCAAUAAACAUAUUUUCUCCGAGUUCUUUCUGUUUAUGAAUCUCAAUCUUUGUGGUUUCCAGUUCGAAUUGCUCCCUCUUUAUAUCUCGUUGCUCUUGUUCUAAUAUGUGUCUUUGUUUCAGAAUGUCACACUUUAUCAGCUCCAAGUCCAGUUUUUCUGUCUUCAUUUUCUCACUCUCUCUGUCGAGGUCAUUUCUUUCCUGCC